UUGUUAGCGUUUAAAUUUACCAAUGCUAUUCUUUACUAAUAUCAAGCUACUUAUUUCAUCAUAGGUCCGGCCGGAUUACUAGAUGUAGCUAGGAGUUGUUCUUUAGUUCAUUUAGUUUCUAUAUUGUCUGUGAUUCGCAUUGACUGGCCGGUCACUGGAUUCAUGCGGAUUCAUUCAAUUCAAGAUGGCAGGAAAAAACAAGGAUAACUUUUAAAAGACUUCUGUUUGUUAUUAGAUUCCUUUUUGAAUAGUUUGUGUUCCUUAUAAAAGUAUUUUACUUCAAACUUCCUGAGUGUCUUAUUUUCAGCAUCUUCUAUAGUACCAAGCUAACAUUUCAGAAUUGAGAUGAGUAAGUCUACGCUCACCGGUAAGUGAAUUUAUUUCUGUGCUUAGUUAUGAAAAUUGUUAUGGAUAUAACAAUAUGCAGUUUCUAUGAUUACUGAAAAGUAAUUUACGUAUUAUUAACCACUAUCUUAAGAAAUUAAUAUCACGUAAAGUCCAAAUAAGGUUAUAAAAGGUAAAAACGCGAUCAUCACGCUAUAUUCGGCGAAAAUUUUAUCAUUGUGAUUAAUUUCAUUAUCGAAAAGUGCAAAACACAGCUUUAUAAGGUAGAUUUGUAUUAAAACUGUUGUCUUGCAAACAGCAACAGUGAAUGCAAAGUACUUUACUUUACUUUAUUUGAAAUAUCGCGUGCGUAUUAGGCCUAAAUGCAAAAUGGAGAAUUCGCAAUUCCUCCCAUUAUUGUGAAUUAGCAGUAGCAACUGUAGCAAGUCAAUAAUUAAUAAUCAUAAAUUUUAUUUCUCUUUGAUUUAAUUGAUCAAGUAAUAACUGAAUUUUUAGCAUGAACUGACGAUGUAAUAUCCUACAGAAAAAAAAAUCUUAAUACCGCGAUGUAAUAUCCACCAUGGAAUGCCAACCCUACUUUAGAGUAUUGUACUCUAUAUCAUUUAAGCGUGAUCUAUAAUCUAUAACACUAAUAGAGUACGCUAAAAUAGCCUUUUUUUUUACACAUUUUUACUAGUCAUAUAAUAUUACGCAAAAACACAUAAUCAAAACCAAAAAAAGUCGACUAUUUACUUUGGACGAUCUUGAACGCAGCCACUUAUGUCAAACGUCAAAUGUCACAUGUGACAAGUUAUUUUGAGAAGUUUUUGAGGUUUGUUUUGUUUGUGACUUUGGUUUUGUUUGUUUGGAAUACUUUUAUCCAUUCGUUAUAACGUGAUUGAUGAACAUUGAUAACGCCGAUCAAGCAUCCUGUACUGAUAAUAAUAACGCAAGUACCCCAUCUAAAAAUCGAAAAGUUUUGACGAAGAAAAAAAAGGACACAGAAGUACACACAACUUUGGGAAAAUGAGUUUUCAUGGCUAAGAAAAGACUCAGAAAGUGAUACAAAUGCAAAAUCCAUAAUCUGUGGCGAAGUUUUCUCUCUAUUCCAUCAGCUGGAGUUGUACACGAUAGGAAUAUUUACAUAUUGUAUGAUGAAUAUGAUGAUGAUAAAGAAAACGAUGAUUUAAAUAUGAAGAUAUAAUUGGAAUAAUCAUAAAAUGAGAAUAUGCAUAUAAAAAUCUACAUAAUGAGAAUGGCUGAGGGUCAGCAUUGAUCUAUUAAAUCAAGAUCGUUAAAACACUUUAAUAUAAUUACAAAGAAAAGGCCGAUUUAAUAUGGAGACACAAGAAUAUAAGACAUAAAAUGAAAGGAUUGGAAUACCUACAUUAUGAGAAUAUGGAAAGAAAAUACUUACAUUUUAUACACAUAAUACAAGAAUGUAUCGGAAUAUUAAGAGAAUGGCUGUCUAAAGCUCUAUUAAAUCAAGAUGGUUAACACACUUUAAUAAAAUUACAAAGAAAAUGUUGAUUUAAUAUGAAGACACAAGAAUAUUAGAAUUAAAAUAUAAUAAUUUGAAUACAUUAUGAGAACAUGGAAAGAAACUUACAUUUUAUAUACAUAUAUUAUGAGAAUGGCUGUCUGAACAGUAUUGUCCUAAUAAAUCAAAAUGUUUAACACACUGUUGUUAUUAUAAUAAAUGAUGAUUUAAAUAUAAAAAUACAAGAAUAUUAUAUAUAAAAUAGAAGAAUUGGAAUAUAUUUUGAUACUAAGAUACCUGCAUUAUAAAUAUAUUAUGAGAAUGGAUGACCGAACAGUAUUGUUCCGAUAAAUGAAGUUGAAUGGUAUGCUGAAGUGCAAGCGGUGCUCACACAAGGAUGUGAUUGGUAUGCCGAAGCACAAGCGGUACUCACUGAAUGAUAAUACACACACUUUAAUAUUGUUAUAAUAAAAGGUGAAUGGUAUGCCGAAGUGCAAGCGGUGCUCACACAGGGUUGUGAAUGGUAUGCCGAAGCACAAGCGGUGCUCACCUAAUGAUAAUUAGUAUAUAGUGGCUGGUAUGCCGAAGUGCAAGCGGUGCUCACACUGGGUUGUGAAUGGUAUGCCGAAGCACAAGCGGUACCCACUAUACUAUUUAUCUGAUAAAGAAUUCUGAGGAACAAUGAACAUACAGUGUAGCCGACCAAAAAUUCACCUAGCAACGUUGUAGCGUAGCAGACCAGCGUCAGACCAGCAUUAAGUACAUCAAUAAGAACAGCCGGAAUAUGGUUUACUAAUUACUUAUAGUCUCUUUGAGUUUUGUUUUAAUUAUGAUUGCUAAGUGCAUUUAAUAUCACCGCAUAGAUAUAAUAACUUUAUUAAUUUUGCUAAUUCAUUCAGUUUGUUAACAUAAAUUUAGAACUUGUUAGUUAGUGUUCGAAUGGCCGACAGGGAAUGGGGACAUUCCCAAUAACAGGACGGCCGACUGUUAGCGUUUAAAUUUACCAAUGCUAUUCUUUACUAAUAUCAAGCUACUUAUUUCAUCAUAGGUCCGGCCGGAUUACUAGAUGUAGCUAGGAGUUGUUCUUUAGUUCAUUUAGUUUCUAUAUUGUCUGUGAUUCGCAUUGACUGGCCGGUCACUGGAUUCAUGCGGAUUCAUUCAAUUCAAGAUGGCAGGAAAAAACAAGGAUAACUUUUAAAAGACUUCUGUUUGUUAUUAGAUUCCUUUUUGAAUAGUUUGUGUUCCUUAUAAAAGUAUUUUACUUCAAACUUC
This is a long non-coding RNA of Plutella xylostella (diamondback moth), 3076 nucleotides long. RefSeq lists it as uncharacterized. The record is from RefSeq and is a predicted model, not a curated record. NCBI's taxonomy places the organism in Eukaryota, Metazoa, Arthropoda, Insecta, Lepidoptera, Plutellidae.